UUAAGCAUAUCAAUAAAGCGGAGGAAAAGAAACCAACCGGGAUUGCCUCAGUAACGGCGAGUGAAGCGGCAAGAGCUCAAAUUUGAAAGCUGGCUCCUUCGGGGUCCGCAUUGUAAUUUGCAGAGGAUGCUUCGGGUGCGGCCCCUGUCUAAGUGCCCUGGAACGGGCCGUCAGAGAGGGUGAGAAUCCCGUCUGGGAUGGGGUGUCCGCGCCCGUGUGAAGCUCCUUCGACGAGUCGAGUUGUUUGGGAAUGCAGCUCUAAAUGGGUGGUAAAUUUCAUCUAAAGCUAAAUACUGGCCGGAGACCGAUAGCGCACAAGUAGAGUGAUCGAAAGAUGAAAAGCACUUUGAAAAGAGAGUUAAAAAGCACGUGAAAUUGUUGAAAGGGAAGCGCUUGCGACCAGACUCGCCUCCAGGGUUCAGCCGGCAUUCGUGCCGGUGUACUUCCCUGGGGGCGGGCCAGCGUCGGUUUGGGCGGCCGGUCAAAGGCUCCCGGAAUGUAGUGCCCUCCGGGGCACCUUAUAGCCGGGAGUGCAAUGCGGCCAGCCUGGACCGAGGAACGCGCUUCGGCACGGACGCUGGCAUAAUGGUCGUAAACGACCCGUCUUGAAACACGGACCAAGGAGUCUAACAUCUACGCGAGUGUUCGGGUGUCAAACCCGUACGCGCAGUGAAAGCGAACGGAGGUGGGAGCCCCCUCGUGGGGCGCACCAUCGACCGAUCCUGAAGUCUUCGGAUGGAUUUGAGUAAGAGCGUAAAUGUGGGGACCCGAAAGAUGGUGAACUAUGCCUGAAUAGGGCGAAGCCAGAGGAAACUCUGGUGGAGGCUCGCAGCGGUUCUGACGUGCAAAUCGAUCGUCAAAUUUGGGUAUAGGGGCGAAAGACUAAUCGAACCAUCUAGUAGCUGGUUCCUGCCGAA
This 917-nucleotide ribosomal RNA is filed under the name Aspergillus toxicarius. RNAcentral describes it as "LSU rRNA". It matches the Rfam family "Eukaryotic large subunit ribosomal RNA", at positions 34 to 965 of the family's 3401-position model. The record is from RNAcentral. Lineage: Eukaryota; Fungi; Ascomycota; Eurotiomycetes; Eurotiales; Aspergillaceae.